This is a long non-coding RNA of Athalia rosae (coleseed sawfly), 2733 nucleotides long. RefSeq lists it as uncharacterized. NCBI's taxonomy places the organism in Eukaryota, Metazoa, Arthropoda, Insecta, Hymenoptera, Athaliidae. The transcript is spliced from 2 exons. The record is from RefSeq and is a predicted model, not a curated record.
UACAGCUCGGUACGUCGUCGAGGUGCGAAAUUGAUUGCUCCUCGUUCCUCACGGGUACUUCAGACUUCGGAAACUUGAUUAAACCAUAUAAACUAUUGUUGGAGCAACAGCGAGCGGUUGGGGUGCGCAAAUAAUACAGGAGAAUUCGUAAUAUAGCGCAGCAGAGGCAAAGGGGACCGGGAGUGUUAUGGCUAUACCUACUGCAGGCCGUCCUGUCCACGGGACGGGAUUCCCGUGGGUGUUUAGAAAUUUAUAAAAGGGAGUAGAUAUGGUGGGUAUGGAGUUACUGCGUAUACCUAUAUAUACACCAUCCGCACAUAGGACUCCCGCAGGAAUGCCAGAAAUGGCCCGCGGGGUCAAAAUACUCGAUGCCUUCCUGCAUUUUAGUUAAAUCCCGCGGUCGUCGCUGUGUACUAUAUACAUAUAUAUUCGCGAUAUUCGUAUACACAAAUACAAGCGUGUAUGUACGUAUCAGGUACAUAACGUAAAUAUAGACAUACACAUGGUAUACUUCGGUGUGGAAAGAGGAGGGACUUUGAAAACUACCGAGGUACGAUUAGUAUGUCGAAAGUUUUCCGACCCCGUGGGGAUUCGUUGAAAAUUUGGUUUCUGCAUUUUUCGGCCGCAGGAUCACGAGGCUGGAAAAUAAGUGAUGGCGGGGAUCGAGAAGGACCUCGCGCGACCCCCCUAUUACACAUAUAUACACGUUUGAACGUAAGCUGCACGUGUCAAAUGCAUUCCGACCGGAAAAAUCAUCGAUAACGGUAUGUGACUACGUGUAGAUGCUGUACCGCAGGCGAAAAAUCAAGCCAACGUCUCGCACCACCUUGUGUAUUUUUGAAUCUAAAAGGAAAACAAUAUCCCCGCCCAAGGGCCUUUUUAUUUAUAGUAAUUCACUUUGAACUCACUUAUACUCUCCUCUGCAAGCUCUCUCAUCGCUUCUUCGAGCACUACAUAGGUAUACCGUACUCCACACACCGUACUAUAUACCUCAUGAAAGAAUAUGAAAUGGUUAAUACCUUUUCCCCUAGUGGGAGGGCUAAAAUGUACUUUGAAAUAAUAACACACCGCGUGGUGCACGGGAGCGUCUCGACUCCGGCUUACGUAAAAUAUACGUGUACAUAUGUGUUUGUAUAUACGUUACAUAUAUGUAUGUACUGUUUUUACAUAUAAAGUAUAUGUAAACGUACCUACCUAUGAUAUACAUAUACUUAUAUCGCACAUACUGCUCGUAGAUUCGAUGUGUGUAUGUUCAUACGCAUGGAUAGCAUAUGCCGAGUUAUACAAAUAUAGAUGCGCGUAGCGUAUCUACGUAUUUUAUGUAUGGUAUAUACAUGUAUAUGCAGGAGCUAGCGGGAAGAAACAAAAACGUUUCAUAAUUUAUCUGAGAGGUAAUUUCCAGGGACCGUUGAAAGCCAAGACGUGUCUGGCUUCUCUGCACAUAAUAUUCUUUUUUUUUUUUUUUUUUUAUUACUUAUUCUUUGUUUUUCAUGUUUUCCCCACAGUAUUUUCCUUCGUUUUUUUUCCAUCCCUUGAAUUUCGUAUCGCGUAUGUAUAUUGCCAUUUUGCCGUAUAGAGCGAAAGCAUUUUAUAACGACUGGGAUAUGAGGAGGAGGAGUUCACAUCAGCGGUGAAAUUUUCAUGCUUUGUAUAUUCCCACCCUUAUGGUAAGCUUUAUAACUGAACUGGCUGUCGAAACAAAGGGGAAAGAAUUCAAUUGACCCGGAGUACAGAAGUGAAAUUGAAAUCCAGGUGAUGGCGAUGAAGUGAGGUGACUACAGGGGAGUGUGUCACUUGUACCGAAAUCGUACCAAAUUCACUGGAAUCGAUGAUCUGAUCGGUGGCAGCAGAUUUCAACUGAACCGCGGCGCAGGGACGGGUACGUAAGUUUUGCAAUUAAUGUAUAACAGAUUGAUUCGCCAUUGUGGAGAAGUGAAGCUAACGCGCCGGUGGCUUUUGCCGGGUAGAAAACUUCUACACGGUACACGUACCGUGGGUGGUCGGUGAUCUUUUCCCUGAAAUUAAUUACACUAAUGCCGUCAAUUAAUUAUCCACGUGCAAGGUCUGCAGGAAGCGGGAGUUGUCCGGGUGCCACAUAUACGUGUGGAAUCGGGAAAAAAAUCAGAACGUGGCUGACUGGCUCCCCCAACACGCGAAACCGGGAUGAAAUUGGAACCAGGAACCGUGAAAACUGCGUGCCCAACCGUCUGGUUCGGAGCUCCUCUCCUCUCCUAUCCUCUCCUCUCCGCCCCGCUCCUCUCUCCUCUCUUUUCACUUUCACCCAUUUCAGUGGAUAGACGGGUGAGGUGAUGGUGAAUCCCCGUAUCCCGAGGGGACGUCUCCUGCGGGUGCCUGUGCAGUUCGGGCGCCAGGAUUCACGGUGGGCGUGUCCCUUGGAUAUUAGGUUUUAAUCAUUUAGGGGAUGAAAUUUUAGGAUGGAGGCGUGGUAGUCUGCUGCUCUGCCGGGUACACCCCUUCCUGUUUUAUCAUCGAUGAAAAUGCAAACGUCAUUUUGGUCAUAUCCAAUGCACUUUGAUCAAAUCAUUUGAAACCAUAUGUAUACUCCUUCCUGUCAUCUACCUAUCGUCUACCCGUGGACAAAAUUUAGAGUCCGAUCCGCGCCACCACGCCUUCUCAUUUCAAAAACCGAAACGAAGAUUUUGUCAACGGGGGUGACGGCAGCAUCGCAGAAAGAAAACCGUGGAAUAAAGAAGAAACGAGCUUGAAUCUAAA